RNAcentral lists this ribosomal RNA (58 nucleotides) under Elongisporangium undulatum. RNAcentral describes it as "Phytophthora undulata partial 18S ribosomal RNA". It matches the Rfam family "Eukaryotic small subunit ribosomal RNA", at positions 1774 to 1831 of the family's 1831-position model. Lineage: Eukaryota; Oomycota; Peronosporomycetes; Pythiales; Pythiaceae. The record is from RNAcentral.
UUUUGAAAAGAAAAGUCGUAACAAGGUUUCCGUAGGUGAACCUGCGGAAGGAUCAUUA